CUGAUGCCCUGAGCCUCAUUUCCCAGAAGCACAGGAAGCAGGAAGUUCCUCCAGGCGGCAGCCAUGACCAUCCCAGGGCUGGAAAGGCCCACACACUUCAGUGUACUUCGCCUUUUUCCAGUUGUUAUCCCCCUAAAAGAACUCAGUGACAUGGCCUGUGUAAAAUAAUUUGGAAUGAUCUCUCUGUAACUUAAUUAUAAUAGGACGUCAUCUACUUGUGAAAACUUUUUGUGUCUUUUGCAUUUAAUCAGUUAGAGAUGUCUGGUUACCUAUAGCACUGUUCUUUUAAAAAAAUAAAAAUUAUUUAACUGCAUUAAAAUAAAUGGAAGGCAUUACAUAUUUGAAAACUGGGGAAAUUUAUUUCCUUUGGUGCAGCCUGGUUACCAAAUAAAAUGAGUCUAAUCUGCUUCUCCUA
This is a long non-coding RNA of Mustela lutreola (European mink), 415 nucleotides long. RefSeq lists it as uncharacterized. Lineage: Eukaryota; Metazoa; Chordata; Mammalia; Carnivora; Mustelidae. The transcript is spliced from 2 exons. The record is from RefSeq and is a predicted model, not a curated record.